Molecule: ribosomal RNA, 465 nt
Filed under: uncultured bacterium
Lineage: Bacteria
Description: partial 16S ribosomal RNA
Rfam family: Bacterial small subunit ribosomal RNA
Source: RNAcentral
GACGAACGCUGGCGGCGUGCUUAACACAUGCAAGUCGAACGGAAAGGCCCCUUUAGGGGUACUCGAGUGGCGCACGGGUGCGUAACACGUGAGUAACCUGCCCUUGACUUCGGGAUAACUUCAGGAAACUGGGGCUAAUACCGGAUAGGAAUCCUUGCUGCAUGGUGGGGGUUGGAAAGCUUCGGCGGGUUUGGAUGGACUCGCGGCUUAUCAGCUUGUUGGUGGGGUAGUGGCUUACCAAGGCUUUGUCGGGUAGCCGGCCUGAGAGGGUGACCCGCCACAUUGGGACUGGGAAACGGCCCAGACUCCUACGGGAGGGAGCAGGGGGGAAUAUUGCACAAGGGGCGGAAGCCUGAUGCAGCAACGCCGCGUGCGGGAUGACGGCCUUCGGGUUGGAAACCGCUUUCAGCAGGGGCGAAGCUUGUGGUGACGGUACCUGCAGAAGAAGCACCGGCUAACUACGUG